This is a long non-coding RNA of Ananas comosus (pineapple), 845 nucleotides long. RefSeq lists it as uncharacterized. NCBI's taxonomy places the organism in Eukaryota, Viridiplantae, Streptophyta, Magnoliopsida, Poales, Bromeliaceae. The transcript is spliced from 2 exons. The record is from RefSeq and is a predicted model, not a curated record.
AAAACUGCCCUCCGACGCCUUGAGGACUCCAACCCUAGAAGCUCGUCGUUCGUGCAGCGCUCUCGCUUCCCUCUUCGGUUUCGAUCUCUUCAGGCAUCCGAAAACCUCCUUCCAACAAUCUUCACAUCUUUCUGUUAAUCUAUCACACUGUGGGUAUUAUGUCGACUUUCUGGAAAGCCCUAACUGAAAGAAUCACCUGCAAGGCGACGCCAGAUAUGGGCAAGAUCACCAUGAAGGAUGACGCAGAGCUCCGCCGUAUGCACAAAAAAUGGAUGGUGAAGAUUGGGCGUAGAUAUGCAAAUGCUGAGGAGGAGGAGCGGCGUUUUCCAGAUCUUCAAGCAGACAGUGGAGAGGUGUGAAAGGCACAACGCAAAGAAGAAAGGUCACAUUGCAGGGUUGACCUGCUUCGCCGAUCUCACAUCCGAGGAGUUUACUGCCAGGUUCCACCCAAUUGAGUAUCCCCCCUGGGUUUAUGAGAAGAUGCGGGAGGAAAGGGAGAGGGAAGCCUUGCGAUAUGCCGGGCCGCCCGAAGAUUUGACUUGUUUCGGCUGCGGUGGCCCUUACUAGAACAUCAAGGCACAAAUAGUCCAUGCGGCGGUGUUGGUCUUGCUAGCGACUUGAUAGGUUAGGCACCUAGAAGAAAAUUUUAUGCUGCAACAGUUGUAGCGUCUACUAAUUUUAGUGGUGUGAUGAAACUCGUUGUUGAGCAAUCUUAGUGGUGUGGUGAAAUUCUCUAUUGAGUAAUCUGUCUACUACUAACCUUUUGCUAAGUAAUUUUGGUGGUGGUGUAGUGAAACUCUCUGUGGAGUAAUCUAUCUACUAUUAACCUUUGGUUAUUCUCUAAA